AUUGAACGCUGGCGGAAUGCUUUACACAUGCAAGUCGAACGGCAGCACGGGGGCAGCCCUGGUGGCGAGUGGCGAACGGGUGAGUAAUACAUCGGAACGUGCCCGGUCGUGGGGGAUAACGUAGCGAAAGUUACGCUAAUACCGCAUACGAUCUGAGGAUGAAAGCGGGGGACCUUCGGGCCUCGCGCGAUCGGAGCGGCCGAUGUCAGAUUAGGUAGUUGGUGGGGUAAAGGCCUACCAAGCCGACGAUCUGUAGCUGGUCUGAGAGGAGGACCAGCCACACUGGGAUGGAGACCCGGCCCAGACUCUUAGGGAAGGCACAGGUGGGAAUUUUGGACAAUGGGCGCAAGCCUGAUCCAGCCAUUCCGCGUGCAGGACGAAGGCCUUCGGGUUGUAAACUGCUUUUGUACGGAACGAAAAGGCUCUGGCUAAUACCUGGGGCUCAUGACGGUACCGUAAGAAUAAGCACCGGCUAACUACGUG
RNAcentral lists this ribosomal RNA (483 nucleotides) under uncultured bacterium. RNAcentral's name for it is "partial 16S ribosomal RNA". It matches the Rfam family "Bacterial small subunit ribosomal RNA", at positions 30 to 507 of the family's 1533-position model. The record is from RNAcentral.